AGUGUACGUACAAAUAAAUACU
Molecule: small nuclear RNA, 22 nt
Filed under: Arabidopsis thaliana (thale cress)
Lineage: Eukaryota; Viridiplantae; Streptophyta; Magnoliopsida; Brassicales; Brassicaceae
Description: snRNA_16855
Source: RNAcentral